Molecule: ribosomal RNA, 253 nt
Filed under: uncultured bacterium
Lineage: Bacteria
Description: partial 16S ribosomal RNA
Rfam family: Bacterial small subunit ribosomal RNA
Source: RNAcentral
UCCGUAGGGGGCGAUCGUUGUCCGGAUUUAUUGGGCGUAAAGAGCGUGUAGGCGGCCGAGCAGGUCCGUUGUGAAAACUGAAGGCUCAACCUUCAGAGGUCGAUGGAAACCGUUCGGCUAGAGUCCGGAAGAGGAGAGUGGAAUUCCUGGUGUAGCGGUGAAAUGCGCAGAUAUCAGGAAGAACACCCGUGGCGAAAGCGGCUCUCUGGGACGGUACUGACGCUGAGACGCGAAAGCGUGGGGAGAGAACAGG